GGCUCAGGAUGAACGCUAGCUACAGGCUUAACACAUGCAAGUCGAGGGGCAGCGCAGUGUAGCAAUACAUGGGCGGCGACCGGCGCACGGGUGCGUAACGCGUAUCCAACCUUCCCGUUACUCAGGGAUAGCCUUCCGAAAGGGAGAUUAAUACCUGAUGGUGUUUGAAUUCCGCAUGUUAUUCAAACUAAAGAUUUAUCGGUAACGGAUGGGGAUGCGUGACAUUAGAUAGUAGGCGGGGUAACGGCCCACCUAGUCUACGAUGUCUAGGGGUUCUGAGAGGAAGAUCCCCCACACUGGAACUGAGACACGGUCCAGACUCCUACGGGAGGCAGCAGUGAGGAAUAUUGGUCAAUGGUCGGGAGACUGAACCAGCCAAGUAGCGUGAAGGAUGAAGGUUCUAUGGAUUGUAAACUUCUUUUAUACGGGAAUAACACCAUCUACGUGUAGAUGCCUGCAUGUACCGUAUGAAUAAGCAUCGGCUAACUCCGUG
RNAcentral lists this ribosomal RNA (493 nucleotides) under uncultured bacterium. RNAcentral describes it as "bacterial SSU rRNA". It matches the Rfam family "Bacterial small subunit ribosomal RNA", at positions 21 to 507 of the family's 1533-position model. The record is from RNAcentral.